RNAcentral lists this ribosomal RNA (468 nucleotides) under uncultured bacterium. RNAcentral's name for it is "partial 16S ribosomal RNA". It matches the Rfam family "Bacterial small subunit ribosomal RNA", at positions 28 to 507 of the family's 1533-position model. The record is from RNAcentral.
GACGAACGCUGGCGGCGUGCUUAACACAUGCAAGUCGAACGGAAAGGCCCUGCUUUUGUGGGGUGCUCGAGUGGCGAACGGGUGAGUAACACGUGAGUAACCUGCCCUUGACUUUGGGAUAACUUCAGGAAACUGGGGCUAAUACCGGAUAGGAGCUCCUGCUGCAUGGUGGGGGUUGGAAAGUUUCGGCGGUUGGGGAUGGACUCGCGGCUUAUCAGCUUGUUGGUGGGGUAGUGGCUUACCAAGGCUUUGACGGGUAGCCGGCCUGAGAGGGUGACCGGCCACAUGGGGAGGAAGAGAGGGCCGGACCCCCACCGGGGGACAGCAGGGGGAAAUAUUGCACAAGGGGGGGAGGCCGGAUGCAGCAGCGCCGGGUGGGGGAGGGGGCCUUUGGGGUGGUAAACCUCUUUCGCCGGUGACGAGGGGGGAGGGGGGGAAAGGGAUAAAAAGACCCGGGCUAACUACGUC